This 433-nucleotide ribosomal RNA is filed under the name uncultured bacterium. RNAcentral's name for it is "bacterial SSU rRNA". It matches the Rfam family "Bacterial small subunit ribosomal RNA", at positions 34 to 475 of the family's 1533-position model. The record is from RNAcentral.
GUACGCGUCGGCAGCCUACAGAUUACAGCGAACGGUACAGGAAGCAGCUUGCUGCUUUGCUGACGAGUGGGGUAAGUAUGUCUGGGAAACUGCUGAUAGAGGGGGAUAACUACUGGAAACGGUAGCUAAUACCGCAUAACGUCGCAAGACAAAGAGGGGGACCUUCGGGCCUCUUGCCAUCGGAUGUGCCCAGAUUGGAUUAGCUAGUACGUGGGGUAACGGCUCACCUAUGCGACGAUCCCUAGCUGGUCUGAGAGGAUGACCAGCCACACUGGAACUGAGACACGUUCCAGACUCCUUCGGGAGGCAGCCAUUGGGGAAUAUUGCACAAAUGGCGCAAGCCUGAAUCAUCCCAUGCGCGAUGUUUAAGAAGGCCUCGGGUAGUAAAGUACUUCCGAGGGGAGGAAGGCCGAAAGGAUAAUAACCAGGACAA